This 253-nucleotide ribosomal RNA is filed under the name uncultured bacterium. Its description in RNAcentral is "partial 16S ribosomal RNA". It matches the Rfam family "Bacterial small subunit ribosomal RNA", at positions 524 to 776 of the family's 1533-position model. The record is from RNAcentral.
UACGUAGGCAGCGAGCGUUGUUCGGAGUUACUGGGCGUAAAGGGUGUGUAGGCGGUUGUUUAAGUUUGGUGUGAAAUCUCCCGGCUCAACUGGGAGGGUGCGCCGAAUACUGAAUGACUAGAGUGCGGGAGAGGUGAGUGGAAUUCCUGGUGUAGCGGUGAAAUGCGCAGAUAUCAGGAAGAACACCCGUGGCUAAGGCGGCUCUCUAGUACGGUACUGACGCUGAGACGCGAAAGCGUGGGGAGCGAACAGG